ACUCAAAUGAAUUGACGGGGGCCCGCACAAGCGGUGGAGCAUGUGGUUUAAUUCGACGCAACGCGCAGAACCUUACCAGCCCUUGACAUGGGCAGUAUGGGCAGGGGAGACCUUGCUCUUCAGUUCGGCUGGCUGCCACACAGGUGCUGCAUGGCUGUCGUCAGCUCGUGUCGUGAGAUGUUGGGUUAAGUCCCGCAACGAGCGCAACCCUCGCCUUCAGUUGCCAUCGGGUAGGGCCGGGCACUCUGAAGGAACUGCCGGUGACAAGCCGGAGGAAGGUGGGGAUGACGUCAAGUCCUCAUGGCCCUUACGGGCUGGGCUACACACGUGCUACAAUGGCGGUGACAAUGGGGCGCGAAAGGGCGACCUGGAGCCGAUCCCAUAAAAGCCGUCUCAGUUCGGAUUGUUCUCUGCAACUCGAGAGCAUGAAGGUGGAAUCGCUAGUAAUCGCGGAUCAGCACGCCGCGGUGAAUACGUUCCCGGGCCUUGUACACACCGCCCGU
This 503-nucleotide ribosomal RNA is filed under the name uncultured bacterium. Its description in RNAcentral is "partial 16S ribosomal RNA". It matches the Rfam family "Bacterial small subunit ribosomal RNA", at positions 899 to 1397 of the family's 1533-position model. The record is from RNAcentral.